RNAcentral lists this long non-coding RNA (526 nucleotides) under Ursus americanus (American black bear). RNAcentral describes it as "lncRNA (ENSUAMG00000026188.1)". The record is from RNAcentral. Lineage: Eukaryota; Metazoa; Chordata; Mammalia; Carnivora; Ursidae.
AUCACCCUCCCCAUGGCCCACGUGAAGAUUGUGCCACAGCAGCUGCAUGGCUUCCAGAACAGACCUGCUGACCCUGGAGCUGACCGCCUGUGCCGGUGACCCCUCCCCAUCGAUGCACCGAGCAGGUUCUGCCCAGCUCCUUCUGCCUGGAAGGCCCAGUUCUUCUCCGCCUGGCCAGCAUCCCACUGCAGGGACACGUCGCCUGGCAGCUGAGCAGUCAGAUUACCAGGAGCUCACAUCUGGGUCCAAACCAUUCCCAAGGCCAAGGCCAGAGAGCCUCCCUGGAGCCUGAAUGGGCUUACACAGAGGCGGUACUGUCUGUUAAAUUCACUCAUUCAACAGGUAUUUAUUGAGCAAGCACUAUACCCUAGGCUCCAGGGGUGCAGGGGACUUCAAAGCGGAGUGGGGGAGGGGGAGCUUGUGGGUGGCUCAGUAGGUUAAUCAUGGGACUCUUGAUUUUGGCUCAGGUCAUGAUCUCAGAGUCCUGGGAUUGAGCCUCAUCGGGAUAAGCGGUCAGCAUUGGGUC